This 198-nucleotide ribosomal RNA is filed under the name uncultured Pseudomonadales bacterium. Its description in RNAcentral is "partial 16S ribosomal RNA". It matches the Rfam family "Bacterial small subunit ribosomal RNA", at positions 135 to 334 of the family's 1533-position model. Lineage: Bacteria; Pseudomonadati; Pseudomonadota; Gammaproteobacteria; Pseudomonadales. The record is from RNAcentral.
UGUGUGGGGACAACGUUUCGAAAGGAACGCUAAUACCGCAUACGUCCUACGGGAGAAAGUGGGGGAUCUUCGGACCUCGCGCUGUCAGAUGAGCCUAGGUCGGAUUAGCUAGUUGGUGAGGUAAGGGCUCACCAAGGCGACGAUCCGUAACUGGUCUGAGAGGAUGAUCAGUCACACUGGAACUGAGACACGGUCCAG